Molecule: ribosomal RNA, 531 nt
Filed under: uncultured bacterium
Lineage: Bacteria
Description: bacterial SSU rRNA
Rfam family: Bacterial small subunit ribosomal RNA
Source: RNAcentral
GGCCUUGACAUACUAAGAACUUUCCAGAGAUGGAUUGGUGCCUUCGGGAACUUAGAUACAGGUGCUGCAUGGCUGUCGUCAGCUCGUGUCGUGAGAUGUUGGGUUAAGCCCGCAACGAGCGCAACCCUUUUCCUAUUUGCCAGCGGGUUAAGCCGGUAACUUUAAGGAUACUGCCAGUGACAAACUGGAGGAAGGCGGGGACGACGUCAAGUCAUCAUGGCCCUUGCGGCCAGGGCUACACACGUGCUACAAUGGUCGGUACAAAGGGUUGCUACCUCGCGAGAGGAUGCUAAUCUCAAAAAGCCGAUCGUAGUCCGGAUCGCAGUCUGCAACUCGACUGCGUGAAGUCGGAAUCGCUAGUAAUCGCGGAUCAGAAUGCCGCGGUGAAUACGUUCCCGGGCCUUGUACACACCGCCCGUCACACCAUGGGAGUUUGUUGCACCAGAAGUAGGUAGUCUAACCGCAAGGAGGACGCUUACCACGGUGUGGCCGAUGACUGGGGUGAAGUCGUAACAAGGUAGGCGUAGAUGA